AGGGGGGCUGAGAACGGACAGCAGGUAGAGAACAGAAGGUGGAAAUUUCAGGUGUUUUUCCAGGUAGAAUGGUUUUCAUUUAAAUACUCUAGCAAAGCCCAGGUAACAGCAGUAAGAGGAGCAGAAACAAACCAGGACAAGGGUGAUUCCCCGUGUUGGGUCCAAGGACAGACGGAUGACACCCAACAGGAAGGAGUGUGGUGGUCAGGCAGUCCCUCCCACGUCCUGGCAGAGAGGCCCCCGCUUUGCUGGUUAUGGAGGCAGGAGGGGACCUGGCAGGUGGCGCUGGGACGAGGGACAGGAGCCUGCAGAUGUCUCCCGAAACCCCGCCGUGGCCCCGCAUGGGAGGGCGGCCGAAGUAGCACCAGUGCACGGGCCCAGCUGAAGAGUCUGGGGACCCGCCCCCAAGUCCUGCACCAACGAGUGUACAGGGAAGACGUGGGCGGGGCCUGCCUCCUCUCUCUGCCAGCAGCUGGCUGUUGGGUCACAGUUUCUGUCCCCAGGGCUGCCUCCCACCUGUGGCCCUGCAGAGGCCAUGGGGGUGGGGUGAGGGGGCCACCACGGAGACCCCAGGAUCAGUCAGGACAGGGAAGCUGGCUCUGCCCUGGACCAAGAGAUGAGCGGAAGGGACUGCCCAUGAGAGCCUCACCUCCUCCCCCGAGUCCCUGUGGGGGGCCAGCUGCCUCCUGUGGGGAGGGGCUGAGGCCAGGCUGGUGGAGGCACCUCAGAGGACCCCCUGCCCCCAGCCUCCCUGGUGACCUAUGGGACAUUGUGGCCACCUGCCAACAGGUUCCCUUCUGGCACUUUUCUCCUUCUGGACCCUCUCCUUUUAGCAGUGGAGCAGAAGUUCAAUAGUGGACCACCUAACAGGUGGCCACAGGCAACCCCAAACCCCAGGCCCCCAAGGGAGGCUCCUGGGGUCCCCAGGGGAGGCCUGGAUAGAGCCAGACCUGUCGCUCCUCCCCCAGGACCUCACAGGGGGCGCAUUUGAAGACAAUCUGAGGUCGCUGCACCUGCAGGAGGGCCGGGAUUUCCUUCACUUCAGCUGACAGACCCAUGGCAGCUGCUCCCAGGAGGCCAAUGGCUUUUCCCUAAAGGCGACGCACGGCUGCUACGCCCGGGAGCCUGUCUCCUCGAUCCAAGAACAAAUCAUCGAUGUGCUGAAUCAUUAGUGCCGUCAGUGCUGGAGUUGAGUGGUGAUUCCCACUGAUGGGAGCCCCGCCCUAACGGUUCCCGUGAACAAGGCGAUAACUCCUGGGUCCGAGGAGGGUCGGGGGGUUGAACAAUCAGGAGUGGCCUCAUUGUGGAGUCACGUCUGAGUCAGAAUCCCCCGCCUUGGUGAUUUAAAAGCAUCGGGGUCUCUGCAUGCAGAGUCUUGGAAGACCCUUCCCAAAGCACACGAGGUGUUGGUCAGAGGCCAGAGGAUCAGUGUUCUGGCCACAGGACUCCAGGACCUUCUAAAAAUGCAUGUUUAUUUUUAUACUGUAUGCUACUAUUGUCCAUUAAAAAAAAAUUCUACGUGCUUUUAAAAAUCUACACAUUAGCCGUUAUUCUCUUUGUUACAUGGUCGUUGUUUAUCGUUUUCUCUGCCCAACAUUCUCUCUUGCACCUGCAUUCACCUGGGAGCCGGAAAAUGAUCCCUAAGCUUUAUCCACUAGAAUCUGCCCCCAGAAUCUGCCUGAAGAUAUUUCUGUCAUCACAACUGGGAAAGGGGUUUGCUACUGGCAUCUAGAUUGUUGCUAAACGUUCUGCAACACACAGGACGGUCCCCACAACUAAGAAUUAUUUGACCUCAAACGUCAACAGUGUCAAGAUUGGAAACCAGCAGUGGCAUUAAGGAGGUUUGUUUUAUCUGUAAUGACCUAUUUUGUUCUUCCCUGAAUGACAGCUGUAGUAGCUUCAGUCCAGCCGAGGCGAAUUGUUUUCUCUCAGCUUGAUGAGGAUCUCAUUCCAGUGUUAAGUCCACCGUUGCCGUCCAAGAGGGGCAGCGGCCCGGACCACCCAGUCUCCCAGCAGUUCUGAUGCAACGUGUCCAGACGUGAGCUUGUCCUGUUUGGGAUCUUGCUUCUAGCACCAAGUAUGUGGCACCGUCUCCCAAGACCCCAGGUGCACACAGGGCAGGUUCUCUGGUGUCUCUUGACUUUGUUUUCAUAUUUUCCAGUUAUUUUUCUGGAUAAAAUUCCUUCAGAUCUUCCAGUUCCCCAAUUCUCUCUUCAGCCAUGUCUAGGUGGUUGUUUAAUUCAUCCAUUGAGCCUUUUUCCCCCUAAUUUCCUCUUGAUAAUUUCUAACCCUUUUCAAAACUGAAUUCAUUUUAUAUUUUGUGUCUUUUGGGGUCUGAUUUUAUUAAGGUCUUGCUAAUGGUGCCUUGUUUCUUUGUGCAUUUUGUGCAAUUUGGGGAUGUGAGCUUAUGUUCUUCUCUCUGUGGGGCUCAGCCUGCAUCCUUCCAGAGAGGGUUUUGUUUGCCUUCUCUGCCCAGGUCUGCCAGCACUGCUGGUCGGGGCCCAGUGUGAUCGCAUUUCCCUCCACCAGCACCAGGCAGAGACGGAGACAGGUGUGCUCCUGUGGGGACCUACUUCUCACUCUCCUUGCUGCUGAGGGUACAGCUAUGUAGGGCCCCAGCUGUAUGUGGGGUCUGCUACUAGAUUUGGCACUGGGCCUUACGCUAUCGCACCCACACUUCCCAAGCAGCCUCCAGGGCUCAGCAGACAAGGAUCCUGGGAACACCAGGGACCUGCUCACUGGGACGGUUCACUCUAUGUCUGGGACACGGCCAUAUGCUCACGGCCGCACCGCUCCCCUCACAUAUCCUGUUCCAGGCACGAGGCUUCUUGCGGCUCUUCAGACCCACCCACCUCACUCCCACUGGGGCCACAGGUGCCCUUCUCUGCCCCUUUUGGGGGUGGGGGGUCUGCUGACCACUCCCUCUACCAGGUGGCAGACCAGCACUGUCCACCCACCCCGACUUGCUUCAGACCACACUGCUUUCCACCAUGUCCACCUCUGCUGUUGUCUGCUUCUGGCCACGUCGUCGGUCAUGACGGGGGACUCCCUACAAAUCCAUCACCUGGACCCAGGUGGGCUCCAAAUGAAGGAGGAGGUUCCCAGCCACCAGAUGCCUGAUGAGAGCAGGUGGUGACCAGUAGGAUUUGACAUGGCUGAAGGUGUGCAGGGGCGGCUGGACACUGCCGGCUUUGUUGGUUUUCCUUGGGUUGCAAAGUUAGACCAGCAAUGAAAGAAUUGCUUCAUGACGCAGUAUCAUCAACGUGCCAAGGUCUAGGUGCUGCUCUGUGGACCCCGUCUGCUGCAGGGAUACAAGUGGGGCCUACUGCGGCCACCCUGCAGGACAGCCUUCCAACCAGCGUGGCCUCCUGGCCAUCCAGGACCCCUCACCACGUGACAACGUCCACCAGCUACGGGGCCUCUGGCUAUUCUUCCAUUGAAAAUGGAAAACUCUCUAUUUAUUUUCAAGAGGAGACACGUUUUAAGGCUUAAAUGAAAUUAAAGUUAAAACCCCACGCAAGACUAACAUGGGCUUCCACUCUCAGGGAAGGUCAGCGAUCCUGGCACGUCCGGUGGCUCAACUGGAGCAGGAGAAACUCACCUAGCAAAGGCAGCAGGACAACACAUCUCAGGCUUGUACCAACACCACCUACCGUGGCCUCCAGCCGUGGACCCGCGGGCGCACACGUCCCAGAAGGGGCAGUCUGUCCCAUGGCCCAGGUGUAGGAGCACUGUCCUGGGCCCAUGGCCGGACGACUUCACCUCAGAUGUUCUACCUGCCCGUCCACAUCUGUCCUGCAGCCAGACCUCAACCUGCGAAGCAGCAGGUGGAAGGGUGGGGGUGGCCCGGGAACCUGCCACACAAAGGCUCCCGCAGUAGGCGGCCUGACCGCUCAGCACUGAGACUGGCCACGCAGGUGGCUCAAGUGGGGAACCUCUACACACAUCGGCCUCACUGGCCCCUGGACAGGCCAGCAUGAGUGCCAGCCCAUGUGGACAAAAGCGGCCUGUCUUUGUUUCAGAAACCCUGAGUGUGUACCCCAUUCUGGACAAAUGAAAAAAAGGUUCAGACAAUGUGGUUCUUCUCCCAUCACCAGAGAACCACUUCCUGGAGGCCACAGGUCGGCAGAUCUGUGAAGCCACUGACCGUGUCUUGCUUCCGUCGAGGGUCUGAGCUGCCGUCACAAGUCCCCUGUGUGGCUGGAACUGGUCCUGGCGGGAUUCUGAGAACACGGGUCGGCUCUUUCUGACUGAAUGAAACUGCACGAGGGCGGGCGACAUGCGUGCGACGGCCAUGAGCGCUGGGCACUAGAAUGGCGUGAGGAGGGAAGACGGCCCCCACCCGCGCUGCAAAAGCGACCCGGAGGCGCGCUCGACGGCACCCACCCCCACCCCGAGGCAUGGCGCCUUCUCUGCCCCUGCAGCAUCUGACAUGUAACGUGAGUCGCUCAGAGCUUGUCAGCGGCUACGAGCAAGCCCAACAAGGCCAUGGUGGACGUGGCGACAGGACAGCACACGGGAGGCUGCAGCGGGCCUGUCCCCUCUGGGGCCAUCCC
Molecule: long non-coding RNA, 4556 nt
Organism: Physeter macrocephalus (sperm whale)
Lineage: Eukaryota; Metazoa; Chordata; Mammalia; Artiodactyla; Physeteridae
Exons: 3
Source: RefSeq, a predicted model, not a curated record